Molecule: long non-coding RNA, 2964 nt
Filed under: Pan troglodytes (chimpanzee)
Lineage: Eukaryota; Metazoa; Chordata; Mammalia; Primates; Hominidae
Description: long non-coding RNA NONPTRT000560
Source: RNAcentral
AAUAACAUUUGUUGAUAUUCAUCAUUGGCCUCAUUGUUGAACAUAUUAUUUGCAAAGAAUCUUAAACUCUGUAGUGCCAGAAUGAUUCUCAUCUGUGCCAUAUUUUGCAAUUAAAAGUAACACACCCUUAGAAGAAUCAAAUAAGAGCCAUCUACAUCCCAGGAGGAUGCACCAAGUUGCUCACAGUGGAUCUUUUCCUCUAAAAUGAUCUUUUAUGUUCUAAAAAGUGAAAUCCCCUUUAUCUGUGUUUAUAUUCUCUACAGCCCAUAAAACUGAUGUGAUUGUUAUGUUAUACUCAUCAGAUACUUUUCUUACAUAAAUCUUUUGUUGUUGUUCUGACAUCUUUCAUUACAAAAUUUAUUUUCUUAACAAAAAGGAACAUAACCCAGCAUCCCAAGUGUCUGUGUUGGCUUUAACAUUCUCUACAUGGUGGUCUAGAUAAGCUAAUUUUUUUUUUUUUUUUUGUAAAAUGUAAUAGCUAGAAAAUGUUAUCUUGGCGCUUGUUUUUGUAAAUCAUUUAGUAUAGGCUGCUAGCUUUACUGGUACUUUACGCUUUGAUUCCAAGAAGCCUUGUGCAGUUGCCUUAUCAAAUGGCCAGCUAAAUUAAAGAUGCUCUUUUGUGUUGUGAAUUUCAUAGUUCUGUACAGAGCUUGUUUCAAUUUACAAAAAUAAGUACAUUCCACAGAAUGCCUAAAGUGUGUAAUUUUCUUUAAAUAAUAGUAGGUGAGGGAGAAACAUAAUGGCUCUAGGUCAAUCCCUUAUCUAAAGACCUUGUUCAACUUCAUAGUCCCUUUCCUUUUAAAGAGAAGAAGAGAAAAAUCCCCCCUGGCCAGGCAUGGUGGCUCACGUCUGUAAUCCCAGCACUUUGGGAGGCUGAGGUGGGUGGAUCACCUAAGGUCAGGAGUUUGAGACCAGCCUGGCCAACAUGGUGAAACCCUAUCUCUACUGCAAAAUACAAAAAUUAGCCGGGCUUGGUGGCGGGUGCCUGUAAUCCCAGCUACUUGGGAGGUUGAGGCAGGAGAAUCACUUGAACCCAGAAGGCAGAGGUUGCAGUGGGCCAAGAUUACGCCAUUACAUUCCAUCCAGCCUGGGCGACAAGAGCAAAAUUCCGUCUCAAAAAAUCACCAGGUACAUACCUCUCAAGUUUGCUGAAGUGAGAAAACCAACAGAAAACAAUACAGAUUUGGGCAGAGGAGCUAGAGUUACAUCUUUAAAGGAGUGAGCCAGUCACCCAGGAGAAUCACAUGUGUAACUGAUGUAGGGGUUUAAGUCUUCGUACUUUCACUAAAAUCUGUCUACUAACUCUCCCACCAACCUUUGCAUCGAACACUUAGGUAGCUGCCUGAUUAGGGGGGCCCCUUUAAGGGGAAAAAAAAAAACUUUUUAAAAAUUAAAUGCCUUGGUUUUGUUUUAUCUUCUGGGAAAGAACACUUUUACUUGAUUAGCAAGAUGAUUAUAUUAUAUAACUUGCCCUUAAAAACACUCCAAAAUACUGACUCUUUUUCUCCAAUUACAAAUGAGAGUGUGAAGAAAUUCUGUUGUAUGAUUUGAACACUAUUAGGUUUGUAUGUGUGUUUAAUUGGAAGAAUUUUAUAUAGAGUAUCUCUGCUUCUUUUGUUUACCUGGGUACCACACAACCAAAUACACAUUGAGAUUUCAAGAAAUGAUGAUGAAAGCCAGAAGGCCAGACCACAGCUCUGCAGCCUGUUUCCUACAACCAGAUAUAAAACUCUUUCUCGUCGGCAUGCUGAUAGUCACACUGAACUAGAACUGUCCCAACACAUUCUUCCUCUCUCAUAAUGGCUUCCAUUUAAUACAGGCAAAGCCCUUUACCUUAGCAAAUUCUUUAUCUUUCAAAAGUGACCAAAAUGAGGACUUCAACCUUGGCUGCACCUCAAUAGGAGAUGCUGAUCUUGAGUUGUAAUGAGAAAAGUGGGCAUACAGAAGAUUUUAGUGACUGCAGUCAGCUGUCUGGCAUUCCUUUCUCAGUUUCCAUCUAAAAGACUACAUAUGUCAAGCUUAUCUCCACCUGAAUUUGCUGCCUGCUACAAAAACAUUUCAUUAAUAUAUCCCAUUCUUCCUACCUCCAUCUCUGGUUUGUCAUUAGUGGUAUUCUGAAAAGCUUAAGAAAAAAGAAUCAUUGAGUAGAAAGUGAACAUUUUAAGUUAUUUUCCUUUUUCAUUGGCAAUUAGUUAACAUGUAAAAUCUUUUCCAUUAAACUGUAUAACUUUUAAUAACUAUAUAUUAUAUAUGGGAUAAAAUAUAUGGACUGAAUUGUGAGAAUAUAAAUGCAUCGAAAGACUCUGGUGUCAUGAAAGCACAAGAAUAAGGCUGGAGAUGGUCCCAGAUCCAAGAUGUCCCAAAAGCCUUUUGUAUCAGUUUCUCUAUUUUUGGUAUUUUGCAUAAUGCAUGGAUCCUUAGUUCAAAUGAGGGACAAAGUUUCUCAGUCAGCCCCACUUCCUUUCUUUCUAACUCCUACCUUUCCCUUGCAGAGGAGGUAGUAGAGAUUCUGAAUUGUCUAUUUUUAUGAAUUCCAUUAUUUUGUCCAUGGCAUCUCUAAUGAAAACAGGUUCUAGAAUAAAGGAGUUGAUUAGUCUGAACAGUACUAAUUAACUACAAAAUAAACGUUAGUGAUCAGCCUCUUCCUCUAUAAACAAUGACCAAUUAGACGUUUCCGUAAUUCCAUGUAUUAUGUAUAGUACACUCUAUAAAUGUAAAUGUAAUGCUUGUCUAAAAAGUGCAAUUUAUUGUACAUUGUCCCAACAAAUGUUUACUUUUAUAAUCGUUAUGAACUUGAAUUGGAUUAGUAUUUUGUUUUUAUGUGUGAAUGAAGCCUUGUGAAAUAAACAGUUGCAACUGAGAAGGUAACAAGGUGACUGUUUUUGUGAGCCAGUGAUGUUUUCAAUGCUUUGUGUUGCCCCUUUGGCCCCAUUAAGCAGUAAUAAACAUUUGUUCUGAAGUCCA